AUCGGUGUCGGGCAGCGACGGGAAAGCGGUGCGGCUGAAUGGCGCCGGGCCCAGGCCGAAGCGCGGCGGCCCGUGGUGCGGCGCGAAGAGGCCCAGCCAGUCCGCCGAGCGGUCGGCCGCAUCCAGCACUCCGCCGGAGAAGACGUGCGCGCCCGGCAUGAAGCCUUGGUGCGGGGAGCGCUGCAGCAGCAGCAGCCGGAAGCCCUCGGCCGGCGGCGGGCGCGACGGCGGGGUGGCGGUCUCCGGGCGCGACCAGCCAGCCGCCAGGACGAUGCUGGCCGCCCGCCGCCAGCGGCUGGGGCCCGGCCGCAGGGAGCUGCUCAUGGCGCGCAGCUUCCCGGAUCCGAUUCUGGCGCGGCCUGAGCUCCACGGCAGGUGGCCCGGCCCUGCAGGGACCCCAGCACCUCCGGGGGCCUCGCGGGAAUUGAGGACGAGCCUCUGGCGUUGGGUGAACCUGGGCGUUUGGUCGGCAACGGCGCCUGCCUGUGGGAGGGGCACCCGAGCAGGGACCGCCUCGAGUGCACUGGGGCCCAGCUAGGGCACUCUCGCGGGACAAUGGGUGUCACGGCAGCCAGCGACCGUUUGUCAUUCACAGCUGCCUGAAAGGAGGACCGCAGUAUUCCCACGCAGGAAGCUUGGACCAAAAGCAGGAAUGCUUAAGGGCGCAUAUGACUUGCCAUGGUAAAAAACAGGAUGCCAACCCAGGCCUGAUGACAUCCACCUCACUAAAAGCUAAGGACUAGGACUUUCUGCUUUAAACAAGGACCCACAUGUGGGUGUUUUCUGUGGGAGAGGGAGAGAGGACAUUCGAAGGGCAGAAGUCUGACCUUUGCAAGCACACGUGAACCACACCAAUGAGAAAUGAAUGGACGAGCCAGAUGCCAAUUUAUAAAUUUCCUACUGCACACCUUGAAUGUGAAAGUACAUGUGGCCGACAAAGAGAAGGGAAGAUGGAGCCGCCAUCUUCAACAGGAGUGGCACAACUGUCGGAUCUAUGUCUGCAGCUGGAUUUUACAGGCUGCUCUUCGUUAGAAAGGAAAACUUUACGGAGGACUUCCAUGCCUUCACUAUCUGCCUAAGUAAAUUCUUCUUAACUCCUGUACCAGUCUCAGCCUCAUUUUGUCCAGCCCCUAUACAAGAUGGAGUUGCUCUGGUUCAAACGCCUGACACAAACUUGCUCCAAAAUAAACAUGGGUGAUGUAUGUUACCUGUAUGUUUACCCAUUGCACAUGUGGUCAACCCCCUCAUAAAUAUGUACAGCUUUCCCCCAAAACCUGCUGAAUAUGACUUUCUUGUGUAAUACAGACCCUGGGAUGCAUAAAACCCAACCUGC
RNAcentral lists this long non-coding RNA (1333 nucleotides) under Homo sapiens (human). Its description in RNAcentral is "non-protein coding lnc-ANKRD27-1:4". Lineage: Eukaryota; Metazoa; Chordata; Mammalia; Primates; Hominidae. The record is from RNAcentral.